GUGAGGAAUUUUCCGCAAUGGGCGAAAGCCUGACGGAGCAAUGCCGCGUGAAGGAUGAAGGCCUAUGGGUUGUAAACUUCUUUUCUCAGAAAAGAAUUAUGACGGUAUCUGAGGAAUAAGCAUCGGCUAACUCUGUGCCAGCAGCCGCGGUAAGACAGAGGAUGCAAGCGUUAUCCGGCAUGAUUGGGCGUAAAGCGUCUGUAGGUUGUUUAAAAAGUAUUCUGUCAAAGAUUAGGGCUUAACCCUAGAUAGGCAGAAUAAACUUUUAAGCUAGAGUUUGGUAGAGGCUGAGGGAAUGCCCGGUGGAGCGGUGAAAUGCGUAGAUAUCGGGAGGAACACCAAAGGCGAAGGCACUCUGCUGGGCCAAUACUAACACUGAGAGACGAAAGCGAGGGGAGCAAAUGGGAUUAGAAACCCUAGUAGUCC
RNAcentral lists this ribosomal RNA (426 nucleotides) under uncultured bacterium. Its description in RNAcentral is "bacterial SSU rRNA". It matches the Rfam family "Bacterial small subunit ribosomal RNA", at positions 354 to 796 of the family's 1533-position model. The record is from RNAcentral.